Molecule: small RNA, 94 nt
Filed under: Hyphomicrobiales bacterium
Lineage: Bacteria; Pseudomonadati; Pseudomonadota; Alphaproteobacteria; Hyphomicrobiales
Description: ROSE
Rfam family: Repression of heat shock gene expression (ROSE) element
About the family: This family represents a 5' UTR cis-regulatory element found in heat shock mRNAs and is known as the ROSE (repression of heat shock gene expression) element. The ROSE element is a negative regulator of heat shock gene expression.
Source: RNAcentral
GCCGGGGCCUGAAAGGACCGGUCAGAAGAGCUCGCGCCGGCAGGCGUGAGCGGCUUGUGCCCAUGUUGCUCAGUGGAGGAUGUGGCUAUGAGAA